RNAcentral lists this ribosomal RNA (117 nucleotides) under Prunus persica (peach). The record is from RNAcentral. Lineage: Eukaryota; Viridiplantae; Streptophyta; Magnoliopsida; Rosales; Rosaceae.
GAAUGCGAUCAUGCCACCUCACGUGCUUCGGAUCCCAUAAGAAGGCUGAAGUUAAGCGAGUUUGGGUGAGUAGUACUAGGAUGGGUGACCUCCUAGGAAGUCCUCGUGUUGCAUCCC